Molecule: unclassified non-coding RNA, 358 nt
Filed under: uncultured bacterium
Lineage: Bacteria
Description: contains 16S-23S intergenic spacer region
Source: RNAcentral
AUCAUGCCGGUCAAUGAUCCAAGCAAUUGGUUGGGAGUAGUACACAUCAUCGGCAUGGCUAAGACGCCCAUGUUAAAUGGUAAUGACAUAUUGUCUCCAGUGUCACCCAUCAUCAUACUACCAUCAGUCAUAUUGCCGUCCCCCAUCAUCAUAUCCAUCAUGUCCAUAGGAGAUUGAGCAUUUGCCUUCUCUGAUCCACCUAUAAAUGUCAACAUAAUGCUGGCAAUUGCAAAUGUUGAAACAAAGAACACUGUAAUUCCUCUCUUUUUGUAUGAACUUUUCGUUGAGUUGAAAACAUUGAUCUGCGUCACUUAAACAUAUCGUAUGGUACUCCGACAGACCUUUUAACCCUAGUUAG